Molecule: ribosomal RNA, 279 nt
Filed under: uncultured bacterium
Lineage: Bacteria
Description: partial 16S ribosomal RNA
Rfam family: Bacterial small subunit ribosomal RNA
Source: RNAcentral
UGCCAGCCGCCGCGGUAAUACGGAGGGGGUUAGCGUUGUUCGGAAUUACUGGGCGUAAAGCGCACGUAGGCGGAUUAGUAAGUUAGGGGUGAAAUCCCGGGGCUCAACCCCGGAACUGCCUCUAAUACUGCUAGUCUUGAGUUCGAGAGAGGUGAGUGGAAUUCCGAGUGUAGAGGUGAAAUUCGUAGAUAUUCGGUGGAACACCAGUGGCGAAAGCGGCUCACUGGAUCUCUUCUGACGCUGAGGAACGAAAGCUAGGGUAGCGAACGGGAUUAGAUA